RNAcentral lists this non-coding RNA (48 nucleotides) under Isochrysis galbana. The record is from RNAcentral. Lineage: Eukaryota; Haptophyta; Isochrysidales; Isochrysidaceae.
UGCCCUAGGCCAGCAACAGAGCAGGCAGCCGUUGCGGCUCCUUGCCGA